GGCUGGACCAGGAACAGCCGGGCUCGGCAGCAUCGCGGGGCCGGCUGGGAAGGGACAAUCCCCCGAGAGAGAGAGGCAGAGUGAUGGCUCAGAUGCUCAGCAGCUUUGGAACAGUGAGACACAGCUGGCUGGAAACACAGCUUCCACAAAGAAUUACCCAAACAGGGUGUUGCAAGGGAGAAAAGCAGUGAGGCCUGGCACCAACAAUAAGAGGUUGCAUAAGGUUUUGACAAAGAGCACAUGGCCUGUGGCAGCUCAGAAGUAAUCAAGAUAUCAGCAAAACUGGCAGCAGCAUUUCAGCCACGUGAGAAACAAGAGCACCCAUGGGAAUGACUGAAGAAAUGGAGUCAUUAAAACAAGCCACUUUUCCCAGGAACAGCUGGUAUUAUUUUAGAAAACAAAACUUGCUGAAGGGAACUGGAAUCUUGCCAGAUCUGGUACUUAAAAAGAAAAGCAAAAAGAUGAUAAUAAAGGAAAAAAAAUUAGAGCAUUUGAAGAUUAGCAACUGUGCAAAAGGAGAAAACCUCCUUUGCAGCAUCCUGAGGCAAGCACCAAAAAAUGGGCCAAUAUUAGCAUAUGCAUUCAGCACACUUCUGGCAGCAAGGACGUGUUUGGAAAGAUUCAUGUGCAAUACCUGUCUUUUGUACUAAGGAAAAUACAAGAAUAAAAAAAAAAAAAGCAGAAAGGGUAACAGAGGACACCACUAAGGCGAGAUGGAGCAGGCCAGCUGGACUGUUAUGAUUUAAUUAAGGAGAGUUUGACUCAGUGGGAUUCACACAUGGGAGAUUAUUCCUAUCAAAUCUGACAGAAUUUUUCACAGUGGUAACAUAUCACAGAGGGAAGCUGUGGACAUAAAACCAAUUUGACACUGUACUGCACACUGUUAAAUUAGAAAGUUAAUGAUUAGGGUAUAUACAGCAUGAAAAGCUUGCAAAAGGAAAGAGCUGACUUUGAAAUCUAAUAUAUGAACUAAAAAUAUACAGUGUAGACCACAUUUUAAUUCAUUCAGCUUCAUCAAAUUACAUGUAUCAGCCUACUCCUAAUAUCUUUUGGUCAACUAACCAUAGAGGCAUAAUACUCCAUUUCCAGCAAAACAUGAAUUCCCAUCUUCUACCUAAAAAUGCAUAAAUUCAUAUUAUCUAAAUGUGAUGAAUUCUUUCUUGGAUUCCAGUCUUGGUUUUUUUGUCCCAGCAGCUCACUGUCAAGAACCUUUAUUAAGAACUGUUCUUCCUUCACAGAGCCGAAGAAUUAUUGAGGGUAGAAUGGACCCUGUGGAGAUUGUCACCACAUCACACCCACUCCCGCCACCCCCCAAAUCCUGGGGGCAGGAGCAGGUUGCUGAGGUUCUCAACCAAUUGAAUUUUGAAUACAUCCAGGAAUGCAGACAUGUGGUCAACUAUCAUCAGAGCAGGAAAGCUUUUUCCUCAAUUUACCUGAAUUUAGUAUAUUUCCAUUCCUGUCUAUUGUCCUGUUGGACAACCUGUCUGCUUUACUCCAUCUUUACUGCCCUCCCAGCUAUUUGACUGAUUUUUAAUUCCCCCCUGACUCUCCUCUCCUCUCCUCUCC
Long non-coding RNA from Zonotrichia leucophrys gambelii, 1566 nucleotides. RefSeq lists it as uncharacterized. The record is from RefSeq and is a predicted model, not a curated record. NCBI's taxonomy places the organism in Eukaryota, Metazoa, Chordata, Aves, Passeriformes, Passerellidae. The transcript has 3 exons.